RNAcentral lists this unclassified non-coding RNA (270 nucleotides) under Hevea brasiliensis (rubber tree). The record is from RNAcentral. Lineage: Eukaryota; Viridiplantae; Streptophyta; Magnoliopsida; Malpighiales; Euphorbiaceae.
AUGAAUCCUGAACAAUUAGGACAUUAGAAGCCAAAUUUGAUUAAUUCUUAUAUGGUGCCAUCAGGGAAACCAACUAGCCAAGUGAACUUAGCAAAAAUGCAGAACCUUUAGUGUAAUAUAAUUUCAUCAAACACUUCGAAUUCAAAGACAUCAUUUGACCAUUCCUUGCCCAAUUCCGUCCAGUACCCAUAUAAUCAAUCAUCCCUCACUCUUUACUAGAAAUCGCCCUUUGUUGGAGUGGAUGAAAUUUUAGUAGGUGAAUAUCUAUGU